AUGCAGGCAAUCACUUCCUCAACAGCACAACUAAAAGCCCUGCUGUGGAGCUCAACCCUUGAUGAAUUGCAAGCUCUUUGCACACUCCCAGACCUAGGAGGAUGGGCAAAGUACAGCCCAUGGUCUGUUUCUGGACUGCCUGCAAGCACGAUUGCUGUGAUUUUUAAAAGGCUGUAUUCUAAAUGCACGAAGGGCUUAUCACAUGCCCUUUCCAAGCUCCAGGCUGUGACCGAAGCACAUCCCCUGGACCCCGGCAACCUGUCUAUCAAUGUCACCUCUGAAGGUGGUGGCUGGCCGGGGAUAAGGGCGGCUUCAGGAGAGAGCGGGACUUCGGGCGGCGGAGGCAGCACAGAGGAAGCGUUUGUGACCUUCCACAGUGAGGUGAAACAAAUAGAGGAGAGAGACUCGGUUCUAACAUCCAAAAAUCAGACUGAAACACUGACCCGUCCUGGUUCCUCUCACUUCAUUGUGAGCCCAUUGGAGGUUCUUCAGAUAGAUCCUGAGGUUACAGAUGAAGACAUGAAAAAGAGGUUUCGGCAGUUAUCCAUAUCGGUGCACCCCGACAAAGAUCAAGAUGAUGCUGAGAGAGCACGAAAGGCUUGCGAAGCUGUGGACAAAGCUUACAAGUCGCCACUGGAUCAGGAGCAAAAGAAGAGGGCCCUGGAUGUAAUUCAGGCAGGGAAGGAAUACGUGGAACACACUGUGAAAGAGCGAAAGAAAACAAUCAAAGGAAGGAAGGAAACCUACGAUUGUAGAGGAGGAUGAUCCUGAGCCUUCAAAGGAGCUGUAUGUAAACAGACAAUGAAACUCUGCCGAGCUGCAAAUUAGAAGGAGAGAGAGAGAAGCCAGAGAUGCAUGAAAGGAAAGGACAAAGGGAGGAAGAGAUCGAAGCUCAAGAAAAAGCCAGACGAGAGAGAGUGGCAGAAAAACUUUGAGGAAAAGUGUAGGCAGCUGGCGAAAUUUCCAAGCCAAUACAAAGGGGAAGAAAGAGAAGAAAAGCCGGACCUUCCUGAGACCACCGAAAGUAAUGGAGCAGCGUGAGGGACCGCUCAGGGUCACAGGCACAGGACCUUCCCCCCUGCUGUUUCCCUUCCUGCUUCGAAGGACUCAUCCUUUCCUCCCACUUCCACCCCACCAUACAGCUGUAUUUGCUUUUUAGUCCAUUUUGUUUUCAAUGCAAUUUAAUAUCGAUCAGAGUAAUUCUUUUGUACAUUGAAAUGAGGGGCUUGGUUUAAAAAGAAGACCUUCCCCUCUCCCUGCCCCUAGAACCACCAGGAUUGGAAGGUGCCACCCCUGGUGCUGCCUUCUCUUCCCACAGCCUGUAACUUCAUGUUUUGUAUUUCACUGAAUUGUGACGGUUAGAUACUUCGUGGAUAGUUUGUGGAAAUCAUCCAAUUAAACAUAUUGCUUAAAAUGGUGUUGCUGUGACUGCAGACAGACCUGGGGCACCUUAGGAGACCCCUUCGCUUCCGUUGCUCGCUUUUGGGUGUGCUCCCUUUGAAGGCCCAGAUGAGACAGGGAACACUUGUGGGCACUCAGAGCAGGCACCUGCUGCCCUGGUGCCCUGUGGCAUUUGGCAUGUGCCCUCCGUCUACUAACCAAUCAGCGUGGCAUGAGGCCCACGCCACCCAAACCUUUCACUUUCCAAAGAGCUAGCAGUCCUCCACCCAGUACCAUGGUGUCAUAGCCUGUCUGCAUUUGUUAGUGGUAAUAUUCUUUAUGUAUAAUAAAUUUUUAUACCC
Molecule: non-coding RNA, 1742 nt
Organism: Callithrix jacchus (white-tufted-ear marmoset)
Lineage: Eukaryota; Metazoa; Chordata; Mammalia; Primates; Cebidae
Source: RefSeq, a predicted model, not a curated record